UGAUAACCAAAAGCUCCUCUCUUCCCAGGAACUCUGCUCGCACAGGUCUCUGCAGAGGAGGCUGUCCACUGACCUUCCUGCCUUUACGGCACUGCUGAAACCUUCUCUCCUGGUCUCCAGUGCUGUGGGGAGAUCUAGGGGAAGAUAUAUUUGUUUUCAGAUGAUGUCAUUCUGUGGCAUAGUUUGCAAGAGACAGGAUGCAAAUAAAGCUGAAUGUGAUAUGGGGAUGAAAUCGAAGAGGCGGAGAGGAAUAGCUGCAGUAUUCUGAGGCUAAGAGCACCCUGCCCCCUUCACUGGUGUGAACAGUCCUUUGGUCACUGUCCCUUCCAGGUCACAAGGCCAUGAGUACAAAAAGCCUCUAUUCAGGCUUCAGAAACAACAACAAGAGCAACAAACAAACAACAGAAACCCCGGUUGCUGAGUCAGGCACGUUCUUCCCCGUGAAAUGUUCUGCGUCCACAGGAAAGGAAACAGGAUACAGACAAUAGCAUAGCUGACAUCACGCAGGUGCCUGGAGGCUAAUUCGAAAAUGUCAGACUCCAUCAGUCACGGAGAGAGAGGCCAAAGGGGGCUGUCUGAUGCUCCAGACGUGUAUGGCUUCUCAAGCCAGCGGAGUUUCCUGUUAAUGCGAGCAGCUUCCCACUUCCCUCCUGGCAGGUGGGUUUACUGCCUCAAGCCUGCAAGCUGUUUGCUGCAACUCCACAUCACGUGUGUAUUUGAGGAACACAGGACAAGAAUACAGGAAUAUGAGUUCCUCACCAGCAGCACGGCUGUCUUUUUCAUUAGGAGAGCAAAGCACGUUUCCACUGCAAACCCCAGCCAGACACAAGCUUACCUGCCAUUGGGCAGAACUGUCACCUGAUCACUCCCACCUGCAAAGGAGAUGGUGAAGAUGGGGAUCUAGCUUUUCCAGCCAUGAUAAGCUGUCAGGGGAGGAGGAGGUGAGAAGGACUCGUGGGUCAUUCUGGCAACACUGAAUCCAUACUGGCUUCAAAGCCAUGGGAGGCGGCUUGCUUGCUGGCCCAGAGUGCUGGGGUUGACCGUGGGCUCCCGGAACUUCCUGCCCUACUGUGGGGUUUCAGCUUGGACUCCCCUCCCCCACCUUGCCAGCCUGGCACCUCCCUGCUCCUCCCUCACAGCUCAGCUCAGUGCCUACUCUGCACCCACCCUAUCCAGACCCCUCCCCGGCAACCUGCACAAGCUCUCCCCCAGCAUGUGAGGCCCUCAUUAGACCGUGGGUUCUUCUGGGGCAGGUAGUGUGUCUCAGUCUUAUUUCUCAGCUUUCAGGCCUAAAAACUUAGUCAUACCUCCUCUCUUUUUCCCCAUAUCCCACAUGCGAUCCAUAGCAAGUCCCAUCAGCUCUAUCCUCAAAAUCUACCCAGACUUCGGAUGUUUCUUACUACCACCACCCCUCCUCCAUCACUCUCCCUUGUAUUACUUCAGUGGCCCUGCUUCUGCCCUUCCCCCCUCCCCAACCAGCCAAUUGUCACCACAGCAAAUCUGUCCCUCCACUGCCCUGAACCCCCAAAUGGCUCCCAUUUCACUCAGAGUUGAAGUUAAAGUUCUUUCCAUAUCUUAUAAAACCUAUGUGAUCUGCCCCUACCUCUUAUUUCUCUGAUCUCAUCUCCUACAACUGCCCUCCUCACAAAUACAACCCCUGCCAUGUUACUGACUCCUUACUGAUCUCACCAACCACCUUCUGCCUCAGGGCCUUUGCACAGCUUUUCCUCUGUCUAGACAGCUCUGUCCUAGACAUCUACAUGGCAUGCUCCCUCACCUCCCAUAGGUCUUCAUUUAAGUCAUCACGGUGUGGCCUUCCCUAUGCCCUGCCUAACACACCCCGUCCCUCUUCCAGCUGUAUUUCUCUUCA
Long non-coding RNA from Hippopotamus amphibius kiboko, 1870 nucleotides. RefSeq lists it as uncharacterized. The transcript is spliced from 4 exons. The record is from RefSeq and is a predicted model, not a curated record. Lineage: Eukaryota; Metazoa; Chordata; Mammalia; Artiodactyla; Hippopotamidae.